AUGAACGCUGGCGGCGUGCCUAAUACCUGCAAGUCGAGCGAACAGACGAGGAGCUUGCUCCUCUGACGUUAGCGGCGGACGGGUGAGUAACACGUGGAUAACCUACCUAUAAGACUGGGAUAACUUCGGGAAACCGGAGCUAAUACCGGAUAAUAUAUUGAACCGUAUGGUUCAAUAGUGAAAGACGGUUUUGCUGUCACUUAUAGAUGGAUCCGCGCCGCAUUAGCUAGUUGGUAAGGUAACGGCUUACCAAGGCGACGAUGCGUAGCCGACCUGAGAGGGUGAUCGGCCACACUGGAACUGAGACACGGUCCAGACUCCUACGGGAGGCAGCAGUAGGGAAUCUUCCGCAAUGGGCGAAAGCCUGACGGAGCAACGCCGCGUGAGUGAUGAAGGUCUUCGGAUCGUAAAACUCUGUUAUUAGGGAAGAACAAAUGUGUAAGUAACUAUGCACGUCUUGACGGUACCUAAUCAGAAAGCCACGGCUAACUACGUG
Molecule: ribosomal RNA, 496 nt
Filed under: uncultured bacterium
Lineage: Bacteria
Description: partial 16S ribosomal RNA
Rfam family: Bacterial small subunit ribosomal RNA
Source: RNAcentral